GGGGGCGAAACGGGUUCGACGGGGAUCAUGAAACUUAAGUUGCAUGCCGAGGUUCCUGCCUGCUCGUAAAACAGGUGGGACUUAAAGCAAUCGCUGACGACUAUGCGUACGCUGUAGCCGCGUAGGCGGCUACCGUCCUGCCAGUUCGGGUCCGCGGGGCUGGCAAAGGGCGUCGACUAGCGGAACAGCCCGCUGCAGGUGCCUAUGGGUAGUGGGUCAAAUAAGUAGGCUGGCUUGAGGGGAAUCCUUCCCGAGGGGAGUCCCUAAGGGCGAGACUCUAAAGCCCGGGAUAAGCAUGUAGAAGCUUAAGUGGAAGUUUUCCGGACGCGGGUUCGACUCCCGCCGCCUCCACCA
Molecule: transfer-messenger RNA, 354 nt
Filed under: Deltaproteobacteria bacterium
Lineage: Bacteria; Pseudomonadati; Myxococcota; Myxococcia
Also listed under: 3 other names
Rfam family: transfer-messenger RNA
About the family: Bacterial tmRNA, also known as 10Sa RNA or SsrA, is named for its dual tRNA and mRNA-like properties. Its role is to liberate the mRNA from a stalled ribosome. To accomplish this part of the tmRNA is used as a reading frame that ends in a translation stop signal.
Source: RNAcentral